RNAcentral lists this ribosomal RNA (253 nucleotides) under uncultured bacterium. Its description in RNAcentral is "partial 16S ribosomal RNA". It matches the Rfam family "Bacterial small subunit ribosomal RNA", at positions 524 to 776 of the family's 1533-position model. The record is from RNAcentral.
UACGUAGGGCGCAAGCGUUGUCCGGAAUUAUUGGGCGUAAAGAGCUCGUAGGCGGCUUGUCACGUCGGAUGUGAAAGCCCGAGGCUUAACCUCGGGUCUGCAUUCGAUACGGGCUAGCUAGAGUGUGGUAGGGGAGAUCGGAAUUCCUGGUGUAGCGGUCAAAUGCGCAGAUAUCAGGAGGAACACCGGUGGCGAAGGCGGAUCUCUGGGCCAUUACUGACGCUGAGGAGCGAAAGCGUGGGGAGCGAACAGG